AUGGAGACAGACACAUUCCUGCUAUGGGUGCUGCUGAUUUGGGUUCCAGGUUGCACUGGUGACAUUGUGCUGACCCAGUCUCCUGCUUUGGCUGUGUCUCUAGGGCAGAGGGCCACCAUCGCUUGCAAGACCAGUCAGAAUGUUGAUGAUAAUUAUGGCAAUAGUUAUAUGCACUGGUACCAACAGAAACCAGGACAACAACCCAAACUCCUCAUCUAUUUAGCAUCCAAUUUAGCAUCUGGGAUCCCUGCCAGGUUCAGUGGCAGUGGGUCUGGGACAGACUUCACCCUCACCAUCGAUCCUGUGCAGGCUGAUGAUAUUGCAACCUAUUACUGUCAGCAGAGUAAGGAUUAUCCUCCCACAGUGCUCCAGGGCUGA
This is a non-coding RNA of Rattus rattus (black rat), 378 nucleotides long. Lineage: Eukaryota; Metazoa; Chordata; Mammalia; Rodentia; Muridae. The record is from the annotation of a RefSeq genome assembly.